RNAcentral lists this ribosomal RNA (252 nucleotides) under uncultured bacterium. RNAcentral's name for it is "partial 16S ribosomal RNA". It matches the Rfam family "Bacterial small subunit ribosomal RNA", at positions 524 to 776 of the family's 1533-position model. The record is from RNAcentral.
UACGUAGGUGGCUAGCGUUGUCCGGAUUUACUGGGCGUAAAGAGCGCGCAGCGGUCGUUCAAGUCGAGUGUGAAAGCCCCCGGCUCAACUGGGGAGGGUCACUCGAUACUGAUCGACUCGAAGGCAGGAGAGGGAAGCGGAAUUCCCGGUGUAGUGGUGAAAUGCGUAGAUAUCGGGAGGAACACCAGUGGCGAAGGCGGCUUUCUGGCCUGUUCUUGACGCUGAGGCGCGAAAGCUAGGGUAGCAAACGGG